This 230-nucleotide ribosomal RNA is filed under the name uncultured bacterium. Its description in RNAcentral is "partial 16S ribosomal RNA". It matches the Rfam family "Bacterial small subunit ribosomal RNA", at positions 15 to 229 of the family's 1533-position model. The record is from RNAcentral.
GAUCUGGCUCAGGAUGAACGCUGGCGGCGUGCCUAACACAUGCAAGUCGAGCGAGAAAUCUUGGAAUGAGACUUCGGUUAAGUGAAGAGAUGGAAAGCGGCGGACGGGUGAGUAACGCGUAGGCAACCUGCCUUAUGCAGAGGGAUAGCCAUUGGAAACGAUGAUUAAAACCUCAUAAUGCCAUUUUAUCACAUGGUGAGAUGGUCAAAGAUUUAUCGGCAUAAGAUGGG